Molecule: long non-coding RNA, 841 nt
Filed under: Salmo trutta (river trout)
Lineage: Eukaryota; Metazoa; Chordata; Actinopteri; Salmoniformes; Salmonidae
Description: lncRNA (ENSSTUG00000006011.1)
Source: RNAcentral
UGUCUGUGGUGUCUUACAGGGAUCCUAUCAGAGAUAGACAUUAACCCAUCUGUCUGUGGUGUCUUACAGGGUGUCCGUGGGGUAACAGGACCGACAGGACAACAAGGGGACGUUGGACCCCGUGGUGCCGUUGUGAGUGAAUUAUUGCGCCUGGUCUCAACUGUGUUAUAAAUGUUUUAUGCUAUAUUAAUGUAUUGUGAUGUUUGUCUUCUUCAAUGACAUGUUCACAGAGAUGACAUUGGAUUGUAUCUUACUGUGCAGUACUGUACUGCUCCAUGAAGGUUUUGUAACAGUCAGUUCUCUGGUGUUAGUGUUGUUGAUGUACUACGUAUAGUUAUGUCUUGACCACUUUCCUUGUUCUUACUACUCUCUAUCUAGGGAUUGCUAGGUCUACCCGGGGCCCCAGGGUUAAAGGUAAUAGGUCACAGUGUGUGUGUGUGUGUGUGUGUGUGUGUGUGUGUGUGUGUGUGUGUGUGUGUGUGAGGGUAGCUCAGCUGUGCUGUAACUGAUGUUAUUUGCUGUAGGGUCAAGAGGGACGCAGCUCCAGUAUCCCUGGCUCUUGUGGUCCAAAGGGACACCAAGGGCCCCCUGGAGUCCCGGGACCCAAAGGGAUCAAGCUAUAUGCCCACGCUCCCUCCGAUUUGAAGGUAUGGUCACACCAAGUCUGACCUAGGUUUAAAUACUACACUGAACAAAAAAUAGAAAUGCAACAUAUUUCAAGAGCUGAAAUAAAAUAUCCCAGAAUUGUUCCAUAUGCACAAAAAAUGUAUUUCUCUUCAAUUGUUGUGCACAAAUGUGUUUACAUCCCUGAUAGUAAGCAUAGUGUAGCAUGUUGGGAUAA